Molecule: long non-coding RNA, 635 nt
Filed under: Numida meleagris (helmeted guineafowl)
Lineage: Eukaryota; Metazoa; Chordata; Aves; Galliformes; Numididae
Description: lncRNA (ENSNMEG00000015045.1)
Source: RNAcentral
GGGAAGGUUUAGGUUAGAUAUUAGGAGGAAGUUUUUCACACAGAGGGUGGUGACACACUGGAACAGGUUGCCCAAGGAGGUUGUGGAUGCCCCGUCCCUGGAGGCAUUCAAGGCCAGACUGGAUGUUGCUCUGGGCAGCCUGGUCUAGUGGCUGGCAUCCCUGCACUCAGCAUGGGGGUUGAAACUAUGUGAUCUUUGAGGUCCUUUUCAACUCAGGCCAUUCUAUGAUUCUAUCUAAUUGUACUAAAAAACAUCAGCAGAUUUUCCACCUUGCCAUAAGCAGAAACAAGAGAUCCUACUCUCAUAUCCUCUUUCUCUCUUACAGGUGGAAUGGGACUGAAGAGUUCUAAGGAGGAAGAAGGAGAGGAUGAGACCUCAUUUCAUCAGAGCAAACAGUCUGAUCAGAAAUUUGAAAGACUUCCUCUGAACAUCAGCACACUGCAAAUGAGAAAUACAAAAGGAUUUUGUUGAAAGGAAAGCCUCCAUGUUUUUAUUCCCCUUUAAUGUACUUCAACUUGAGUAGGAAAUUUCAGCAAUGCAUGGGAUAAGUGACUCAAAUUUCUUGAGGCAGGAGAAACAAAGGUAAGUCACUGGAAACAUUAAGUAAAACAGUUUGACAAUCUGAGAGAAUUUGG